UGCAGUCGAGGGGCAGCAGGGGUAGCAAUACUCGCUGGCGACCGGCAAACGGGUGCGGAACACGUACGCAACCUUCCUUCAAGCGGGAGAUAGCCCGGAGAAAUCCGGAUUAAUAUCCCAUAGGAUUGUGGAUCGGCAUCGAUCAGCAAUUAAAGAUUUAUCACUUGAAGAUGGGCGUGCGUCUGAUUAGGUAGUUGGUGAGGUAACGGCUCACCAAGCCGACGAUCAGUAACUGGCGUGAGAGCGCGACCAGUCACACGGGCACUGAGACACGGGCCCGACUCCUACGGGAGGCAGCAGUAAGGAAUAUUGGUCAAUGGACGCAAGUCUGAACCAGCCAUGCCGCGUGGAGGAUGAAGGUCCUCUGGAUUGUAAACUUCUUUUAUCUGGGAAGAAAUGGUUGCUUUCUAGCGAUCUUGACGGUACCAGAUGAAUAAGCACCGGCUAACUCCGUGCCAGCAGCCGCGGUAAUACGGAGGGUGCAAGCGUUAUCCGGAUUCACUGGGUUUAAAGGGUGCGUAGGCGGAACAGAAAGUCCGUUGUGAAAUCUCCGAGCUUAACUCGGAAAUUGCGGUGGAUACUAUUGUUCUUGAAUAUUGUUGAGGUUAGCGGAAUAUGUCAUGUAGCGGUGAAAUGCAUAGAUAUGACAUAGAACACCAAUUGCGAAGGCAGCUGGCUAAACAAAUAUUGACGCUGAGGCACGAAAGCGUGGGGAUCAAACAGGAUUAGAUACCCUGGUAGUCCACGCCCUAAACGAUGAUUACUCGACAUUUGCGAUACACAGCAAGUGUCUGAGCGAAAAGCAUUAAGUAAUCCACCUUGGGAAGUACGACCGCAAGGUUGAAACUCA
RNAcentral lists this ribosomal RNA (850 nucleotides) under uncultured bacterium. RNAcentral describes it as "bacterial SSU rRNA". It matches the Rfam family "Bacterial small subunit ribosomal RNA", at positions 56 to 903 of the family's 1533-position model. The record is from RNAcentral.